RNAcentral lists this ribosomal RNA (406 nucleotides) under uncultured bacterium. RNAcentral's name for it is "partial 16S ribosomal RNA". It matches the Rfam family "Bacterial small subunit ribosomal RNA", at positions 30 to 526 of the family's 1533-position model. The record is from RNAcentral.
AUUGAACGCUGGCGGCAGGCCUAACACAUGCAAGUCGAACGAGUGGCGGACGUGUGAGUAAUGUCUGUGAAACUGCCAGAUGGAGGGGGAUAACUACUGGACACGGUCGCUACUACCGCAUACCAUCGGAUGUGCCCCGAUGGGAUUAGAUAGGAGGUGGGGUAAUGGCUCACCUAGGCGACGAACCGUAGGUGGUCUGAGCUGAUGACCAGCCACACUGGAACUGAGACACGGUCCAGACUCCUACGGGAGGCAGCAGGGGGGAAUAUUGCACUAUGGGCGCAAGCCUGAUGCAGCCAUGCCGCGUGUAUGAAGAAGGCCUUCGGGUUGUAAAGUACUUUCAGCGAGGAGGCGUUACUAGCAGAAGAAGCACCGGCUAACUCCGUGCCAGCAGCCGCGGUAAUUC